AUAAAUGCAUUGUCCAUAAUUAAGGUCUACAAGUAUGGUUACUGAUAUUUUUGAGUUCCCUCUCAUUUUUGUUGAAUGAUAUUUUUCCAGAUUAGUUCUUGUUUUGUUUGAGGACAAACAAAGUCUGAAGUCUGGGGGAGUUGAUAACACCGGAUUUUGACCAUUUUUCACCAUUGAUUUCAAAUGCUUUUUCAAAGGUUUUACUUAGUUUUAGGAACUUUAAUUAUGUUUUCCAUGUAUUUGUAGUUUCAAGGCUCUUUUCAGGAGACUUAGGGAAUAUGAUUACAAAAUGGAAGAAAUCCACAUUUUUAGCUCAGAGUCAGACCGUCAGAAGUUCAGCCUCAAAUGAAGACUUUCUUACCGUCCGAUCCAGCUCAAAUUUGGAGAAAAUCAAGAGGAGACAACCAGCUUUCCAUAUCACUUUACAUCACAAAGAUCCAACGGUGCAAUCAAAAUAUACAUGGAGAACAAGUUGCAUCAGUUCACCAGUCCCGGAAGACUCUCACCCGCGGGAAACACAUGUUUUACCUGCCCUGGAAGACUCUCACCCCCGGUGGACCUUAGGACAAGCCACAAGGCCCAACAUCAAAGCCCACUUCGCCAUUUCUCUUCAGAGAAGCCCUAAAUGAGACCUGGAAUACCUUAGGACCUAUAAAUACAUUGUUUAGCAGCCCUAAACGGGUGUGUGCUCCUGUAAUGAGAUUUUGAGCC
This 711-nucleotide long non-coding RNA is filed under the name Eutrema salsugineum. RNAcentral describes it as "long non-coding RNA (ESAL_LNC001496)". The record is from RNAcentral. Lineage: Eukaryota; Viridiplantae; Streptophyta; Magnoliopsida; Brassicales; Brassicaceae.